Talpa occidentalis (Iberian mole) is the source of this 524-nucleotide long non-coding RNA. RefSeq lists it as uncharacterized. The record is from RefSeq and is a predicted model, not a curated record. The transcript has 3 exons. Lineage: Eukaryota; Metazoa; Chordata; Mammalia; Eulipotyphla; Talpidae.
ACAACUUUGUCCUGCAGUUGUGACCUUCCAUGGAGAUAAUGUGCUCCACAGGUUCAAUGAGCUAUUGGAAGUUUCUGUGAGUUUACAACGUUGUACGUGAUUCAGAGGCAUAGGAUCACACUGCCUCAGAUGCAUGUCCUCACACCACACCAUCAUUUGCACUGCGUUCAGAUAUUCAACAUGUAAAUCCAUCAUAUUAAUGCCUUGAAUAUAAUCCAUUCUGAACAAAAGCAUCAUGAUGAUGAUGAUGAUGAUGAUGACGUGGACAAAUGAAUAUAUUCUCUAUUACUGGAGGAGCAUGAAAAGUCAGCUUGAGCCUCCCAUUUGCCAUUAAGUUUCUUUGCCAAUAUGUUGCUGUUUUUCUUGGUUGUUGUUUUUCUUACACUAAUGAAACCUCAAAAAAAAAUCUCUAUAUAUAUAUCACUCUAUACUACAUAACCCUUGAAGUGGAAGAAUAAGCAAUUUGUUCUAUUUCCAUUGAUUGUUUGAAAAAGCUAAAGGUAUUAAAGCUAAUAUUAUCUUUC